UACGUAGGGGGCAAGCGUUGUCCGGAAUCAUUGGGCGUAAAGCGCGUGUAGGCGGCCCGGUAAGUCCGCUGUGAAAGUCAAAGGCUCAACCUUUGAAAGCCGGUGGAUACUGUGGGACUAGAGUACGGAAGAGGCGAGUGGAAUUCCUGGUGUAGCGGUGGAAUGCGCAGAUAUCAGGAGGAACACCAAUAGCGAAGGCAGCUCGCUGGGACGUUACUGACACUGAGGCGCGAAAGCGUGGGGAGCGAACAGG
This 253-nucleotide ribosomal RNA is filed under the name uncultured bacterium. Its description in RNAcentral is "partial 16S ribosomal RNA". It matches the Rfam family "Bacterial small subunit ribosomal RNA", at positions 524 to 776 of the family's 1533-position model. The record is from RNAcentral.